UGUCCCAGUUCGGACUGGAGUCUGCAACCCGACUCCACGAAGUUGGAUUCGCUAGUAAUCGCGCAUCAGCCAUGGCGCGGUGAAUACGUUCCCGGGCCUUGUACACACCGCCCGUCAAGCCAUGGGAGCCGGGGGCGCCUGAAGUCCGGGACCGCGAGGACCGGCCUAGGGCGAGACUGGUAACUGGGGCUAAGUCGUAACAAGGUAGC
This 209-nucleotide ribosomal RNA is filed under the name uncultured bacterium. Its description in RNAcentral is "partial 16S ribosomal RNA". It matches the Rfam family "Bacterial small subunit ribosomal RNA", at positions 1284 to 1500 of the family's 1533-position model. The record is from RNAcentral.